Molecule: transfer RNA, 72 nt
Filed under: Ignavibacteriota bacterium
Lineage: Bacteria; Pseudomonadati; Ignavibacteriota
Description: Ignavibacteriae bacterium tRNA-Lys
Rfam family: tRNA
About the family: Transfer RNA (tRNA) molecules are approximately 80 nucleotides in length. Their secondary structure includes four short double-helical elements and three loops (D, anti-codon, and T loops). Further hydrogen bonds mediate the characteristic L-shaped molecular structure. tRNAs have two regions of fundamental functional importance: the anti-codon, which is responsible for specific mRNA codon recognition, and the 3' end, to which the tRNAs corresponding amino acid is attached (by aminoacyl-tRNA synthetases). tRNAs cope with the degeneracy of the genetic code in two manners: having more than one tRNA (with a specific anti-codon) for a particular amino acid; and 'wobble' base-pairing, i.e. permitting non-standard base-pairing at the 3rd anti-codon position.
Source: RNAcentral
GGGCCCGUAGCUCAGUGGUAGAGCAUCUGCCUUUUAAGCAGAGGGUCGGUGGUUCGAGACCACCCGGGCUCA